GAGGGACGAAAAUGACGGUACCUCCAGAAGAAGCUCCGGCCAACUACGUGCCAGCAGCCGCGGUAAUACGUAGGGAGCAAACGUUGUCCGGAUUUUAUCGGGCGUAAAGGGCUCGUAUGCGGUUCAGCAAGUCGGUCGUGAAAGCCCGGGGCUCAACCCCGGGAUGGCCGCUCGAAACUGUUGUGACUAGAGUCCGGUAGAGCGUGAGUGGAAUGCUCAGUGUAGCGGUGGAAUGCGCAGAUAUUGAGAGGAACACCAUUAUCGAAGGCGGCUCACUGGGCCGAUACUGACGCUGAGGAGCGAAAGCGUGGGGAGCAAACAGGAUUAGAUACCCUGGUAGUACACGCCGUAACCGAUUAACGCUAGGUGUAGCGGAUGUA
This 380-nucleotide ribosomal RNA is filed under the name uncultured Bacillota bacterium. RNAcentral's name for it is "bacterial SSU rRNA". It matches the Rfam family "Bacterial small subunit ribosomal RNA", at positions 440 to 833 of the family's 1533-position model. Lineage: Bacteria; Bacillati; Bacillota. The record is from RNAcentral.